GUAACAGGUGAACCCAGCAUGAGGUACAAGGGGCAGCAAAGACAGACGCAUCUGAAGGUGGCAUUUGUCCAGGCAUCUUCUAAUGCUGUCUGCCAUCACAUCUUUCCUGGCGCUAGUGCUGGCCACAGAACGUUUUCCCUGCGCGUGGGGUGGUUCAGAAGGUGAUGUCUCAGCCUCUCUUCACAGUGCGUGGAGGUUAGGCCGGACUCAUGGCUCCCAUGCAUUCUCACUAUUUCAUUACGUUAUCUUGGAAGUUAAAUAAAGAUGUAACGUUGCGCUGAAAUCCCUUUCCCCAG
RNAcentral lists this long non-coding RNA (296 nucleotides) under Gallus gallus (chicken). RNAcentral describes it as "lncRNA (ENSGALG00010019150.1)". The record is from RNAcentral. Lineage: Eukaryota; Metazoa; Chordata; Aves; Galliformes; Phasianidae.